This 583-nucleotide ribosomal RNA is filed under the name Pantoea sp. N1.102. RNAcentral describes it as "bacterial SSU rRNA". It matches the Rfam family "Bacterial small subunit ribosomal RNA", at positions 834 to 1417 of the family's 1533-position model. The record is from RNAcentral. Lineage: Bacteria; Pseudomonadati; Pseudomonadota; Gammaproteobacteria; Enterobacterales; Erwiniaceae.
GAGGCGUGGCUUCCGGAGCUAACGCGUUAAGUCGACCGCCUGGGGAGUACGGCCGCAAGGUUAAAACUCAAAUGAAUUGACGGGGGCCCGCACAAGCGGUGGAGCAUGUGGUUUAAUUCGAUGCAACGCGAAGAACCUUACCUACUCUUGACAUCCAGAGAACUUUCCAGAGAUGGAUUGGUGCCUUCGGGAACUCUGAGACAGGUGCUGCAUGGCUGUCGUCAGCUCGUGUUGUGAAAUGUUGGGUUAAGUCCCGCAACGAGCGCAACCCUUAUCCUUUGUUGCCAGCGGUCCGGCCGGGAACUCAAAGGAGACUGCCAGUGAUAAACUGGAGGAAGGUGGGGAUGACGUCAAGUCAUCAUGGCCCUUACGAGUAGGGCUACACACGUGCUACAAUGGCGCAUACAAAGAGAAGCGACCUCGCGAGAGCAAGCGGACCUCAUAAAGUGCGUCGUAGUCCGGAUUGGAGUCUGCAACUCGACUCCAUGAAGUCGGAAUCGCUAGUAAUCGUAGAUCAGAAUGCUACGGUGAAUACGUUCCCGGGCCUUGUACACACCGCCCGUCACACCAUGGGAGUGGGUUG